This 392-nucleotide unclassified non-coding RNA is filed under the name fungal sp. Its description in RNAcentral is "partial internal transcribed spacer region". The stretch from base 1 to 46 matches the Rfam family "Eukaryotic small subunit ribosomal RNA", at positions 1786 to 1831 of the family's 1831-position model. Lineage: Eukaryota; Fungi. The record is from RNAcentral.
AAGUCGUAACAAGGUUUCCGUAGGUGAACCUGCGGAAGGAUCAUUAUUACGUAUCCACGUAUCAAAACCAAAUCGUGAACUGUUUCCCAUCUAGUGAGGGCCUCUGCGAGUCUGAAAUUAAAAAAAUGCACAGUGAGCAAGAGCCUGAAAACUCUUGUGAACCAGACUCGGUCCUGAACCAACAAAAAUUCAGGGAAAUUUUAUUUUCCUUGUUCUUUUGUUGUUCAGCUCGCUAGGUGUGGUAAUUUUUUUGUUCGCCACUGUGCUGCAAACUAUUAACCCCUUGUAAACAAUUGAACUAAAUUACUGAGAAGUGUUGGACUUCGGUUCGGCAAUUUCUCUGGAUAACCGAAAUUUAAGAACAACUCUUAACAACGGAUAUCUUGGUUCUC